UAUAAGUAUAGUUGUGGGCUUCCGUAUCCAACGUUCAAUUGUCCGUCCUAUUUGAAAGAAAUAUGAUUAGUAUUUUUGUUGUUAUUAGAUGAUAAAACAUAAAUAAUACUUUAUGUGUGACUAUUUUUUUUUAAUUUUUUCAUAAGACGAAUAGUUAAAAGUUGUAUACGGAAACCCACAACUGCACUUAUA
This is a non-coding RNA of Oryza meridionalis, 192 nucleotides long. The record is from Rfam. Lineage: Eukaryota; Viridiplantae; Streptophyta; Magnoliopsida; Poales; Poaceae.